This 329-nucleotide small nuclear RNA is filed under the name Ursus maritimus (polar bear). RNAcentral describes it as "7SK RNA (ENSUMAG00000013372.1)". It matches the Rfam family "7SK RNA". Rfam says of the family: 7SK was discovered as an abundant small nuclear RNA in the mid-70s but a possible function has only recently been suggested. Two independent studies have found that 7SK RNA binds the CDK9/cyclin T complex (known as elongation factor P-TEFb). Lineage: Eukaryota; Metazoa; Chordata; Mammalia; Carnivora; Ursidae. The record is from Rfam by way of RNAcentral.
GGAUGUGAAGGUGGUCUGGCUGUGACAUUUGUCACCCUGCUGAUCACCAGUGUUGAUUUGGCUCACCUGGCUGGCUAGGCAGGUGUCCCCUUCCUCCCUCACCGUUCCAUGUGCGUCCAUCCAGAAGCUGUGUGCUAGGUCCAAGAGCACGACCUUCUCUGAUAGAGGAAGACGUGUUCUUCGGUCAAGGGGAACGAGUGAUGGCUCUCCCCUGCUAAAACCUCCAAACAACUCUCAAGGUCCAUUUGUAGAAGAUGUAGGAUAGUCAAGCUUCCAAGACUCCAGACACACCCACAUUAGGCGCUGCAGCUAGCAGUCAGCCUUUCUUU